This 87-nucleotide transfer RNA is filed under the name Armatimonadota bacterium. RNAcentral describes it as "Armatimonadetes bacterium (anaerobic digester metagenome) tRNA-Ser". It matches the Rfam family "tRNA". Rfam says of the family: Transfer RNA (tRNA) molecules are approximately 80 nucleotides in length. Their secondary structure includes four short double-helical elements and three loops (D, anti-codon, and T loops). The record is from RNAcentral. Lineage: Bacteria; Bacillati; Armatimonadota.
GGAAGGGUGGCGGAGUGGGCGAUCGCGACUGUCUUGAAAACAGUUGGCCGAUGAGGCCCGCGGGUUCGAAUCCCGCCCCUUCCGCCA